This 315-nucleotide ribosomal RNA is filed under the name uncultured eukaryote. RNAcentral describes it as "partial 18S ribosomal RNA". It matches the Rfam family "Eukaryotic small subunit ribosomal RNA", at positions 1470 to 1796 of the family's 1831-position model. The record is from RNAcentral.
CCCUUAGACGUUCUGGGCCGCACGCGCGCUACACUGACCAGUGCAACAAGCAUCCGUCCUUGGCCGACAGGCUCGGGCAAUCUUUGAACGCUGGUCGUGAUGGGGAUAGACUUUUGCAAUUUUUGGUCUUCAACGAGGAAUUCCUAGUAAACGCAAGUCAUCAACUUGCAUUGAUUACGUCCCUGCCCUUUGUACACACCGCCCGUCGCACCUACCGAUUGAAUGGUCCGGUGAAGCCUCCGGAUUGGCGCGCAUCUCGGUGCCGCCGAGAAGUUGGCUAAACCUUACCAUUUAGAGGAAGGUGAAGUCGUAACA